RNAcentral lists this ribosomal RNA (1343 nucleotides) under uncultured bacterium. RNAcentral's name for it is "16S ribosomal RNA". It matches the Rfam family "Bacterial small subunit ribosomal RNA", at positions 28 to 1378 of the family's 1533-position model. The record is from RNAcentral.
GACGAACGCUGGCGGCGUGCUUAACACAUGCAAGUCGAACGGAAAGGCCCUGCUUUUGUGGGGUGCUCGAGUGGCGAACGGGUGAGUAACACGUGAGUAACCUGCCCUUGACUUUGGGAUAACUUCAGGAAACUGGGGCUAAUACCGGAUAGGAGCUCCUGCUGCAUGGUGGGGGUUGGAAAGUUUCGGCGGUUGGGGAUGGACUCGCGGCUUAUCAACUUGUUGGUGGGGUAGUGGCUUACCAAGGCUUUGACGGGUAGCCGGCCUGAGAGGGUGACCGGCCACAUUGGGACUGAGAUACGGCCCAGACUCCUACGGGAGGCAGCAGUGGGGAAUAUUGCACAAUGGGCGGAAGCCUGAUGCAGCAACGCCGCGUGCGGGAUGACGGCCUUCGGGUUGUAAACCGCUUUCGCCUGUGACGAAGCGUGAGUGACGGUAAUGGGUAAAGAAGCACCGGCUAACUACGUGCCAGCAGCCGCGGUGAUACGUAGGGUGCGAGCGUUGUCCGGAUUUAUUGGGCGUAAAGGGCUCGUAGGUGGUUGAUCGCGUCGGAAGUGUAAUCUUGGGGCUUAACCCUGAGCGUGCUUUCGAUACGGGUUGACUUGAGGAAGGUAGGGGAGAAUGGAAUUCCUGGUGGAGCGGUGGAAUGCGCAGAUAUCAGGAGGAACACCAGUGGCGAAGGCGGUUCUCUGGGCCUUUCCUGACGCUGAGGAGCGAAAGCGUGGGGAGCGAACAGGCUUAGAUACCCUGGUAGUCCACGCUGUAAACGGUGGGUACUAGGUGUGGGGUCCAUUCCACGGGUUCCGUGCCGUAGCUAACGCUUUAAGUACCCCGCCUGGGGAGUACGGCCGCAAGGCUAAAACUCAAAGGAAUUGACGGGGCCCCGCACAAGCGGCGGAGCAUGCGGAUUAAUUCGAUGCAACGCGUAGAACCUUACCUGGGUUUGACAUGGAUCGGGAGUGCUCAGAGAUGGGUGUGCCUCUUUUGGGGUCGGUUCACAGGUGGUGCAUGCCUGUCGUCAGCUCGUGUCGUGAGAUGUUGGGUUAAGUCCCGCAACGAGCGCAACCCUUGUUCACUGUUGCCAGCACGUUAUGGUGGGGACUCAGUGGAGACCGCCGGGGUCAACUCGGAGGAAGGUGGGGAUGACGUCAAGUCCUCAUGCCCCUUAUGUCCAGGGCUUCACGCAUGCUACAAUGGCUGGUACAGAGAGUGGCGAGCCUGUGAGGGUGAGCGAAUCUCGGAAAGCCGGUCUCAGUUCGGAUUGGGGUCUGCAACUCGACCUCAUGAAGUCGGAGUCGCUAGUAAUCGCAGAUCAGCAACGCUGCGGUGAAUACGUUCCCGGG